Molecule: ribosomal RNA, 253 nt
Filed under: uncultured bacterium
Lineage: Bacteria
Description: partial 16S ribosomal RNA
Rfam family: Bacterial small subunit ribosomal RNA
Source: RNAcentral
UACGGAGGGUGCAAGCGUUAUCCGGAUUUACUGGGUUUAAAGGGUGCGUAGGUGGGUAAGUAAGUCAGUGGUGAAAUCUUCGAGCUUAACUCGGAAACUGCCAUUGAUACUAUUUAUCUUGAAUACUUUGGAGGUAAGCGGAAUAUGUCAUGUAGCGGUGAAAUGCUUAGAUAUGACAUAGAACACCAAUUGCGAAGGCAGCUCACUAAACAGAUAUUGACGCUGAGGCACGAAAGCGUGGGGAUCAAACAGG